AAUGUGGCGUAACUUUGGGGCUGUCAUAGAUGCUAUAUGGAGAGAGAAUUCCCUGGAAUGCGUCACUGGGACAAACAAAUGCCCCAGACCUGAGCCGAGAGCUGUCAUUUCCCUUUUCUACUUCAGCAAAUGCAAAACAAUCAAUCUUAGUGGAUAUGGAUCCCUACGGUUAUGAUCUAAGCUCCUGCCAGCGUAAGGAUACAUUGGCCUGACUUCCCGUCACAUCAGUGGAGUUUGAGAACGUCAUCGAUCCAGAGUGAAGGGCAGGCAUUGUCCCCUCUUUCUCCUGAGAUCCAAGGCGUUUUCCUCUUCUCAACAUCACCUGAUUAUAGGCAUUGGGCAAGGACAAUCCAGCGUGGUCUAAAGAUCUGUCUAAAUGAGGAAGAGGAAAAAGCACUAUCAAGAUUUAAAUCGGGCUGAAGGGUCCUCUGGAGUUGAAGCCCAACCAACCUUGCCAACACCUUCCACAGAAAGGGAAGAUUGGAGACCGGAAUGAAAUUGCCCAGGGUGGGGUGAGGAGGCAGACCACAGUCUCCUUCAAGGCUGAGGAGACUACUCCUGCAGAGAAGCAUAUAUGUACGCCUGGCUCCAGCAGUAGGUCACCUCUAGGCACCCUUAACCAUCCAGGAAAGGCCUAGAUCAAAACAGAGAAUGAAGCUCCCAGAUGAGAGCAUCCUGUUCGUAGUCUGAGGACUCGCAAGGCAGCUCACUUCAGUUGACUAUACAAGACCAUGCCUUGGGCACUUCAUCUGGACAUGUUCACUCAAAAUCCGGCUCUCAAUGAUUCCAAAUGUCUUUAUCUGCCAAAUUGCAAAAUAUUUCUCACAGCAGUUAGUCCUGGAUUUAUCUCUCCCCAGCAGAGAUUGAGUCACCUUGAACAGGGCUGCCAGGGAGAUGCACUAAGGGCAGAGGAUUAUGUGAUUUUGCUGCCUUUAUCACUAUGAUGCAAGUCCAAAUAUAGAUUCUUACCUAUGCUAUGAUUCAUUCUCAUCCUCCUCCAAUGGUGCUCUAGGUGGCUCUUCAUGCACUUUAUCUUGCAGAGCUACUCAGUAGACCAAAGGAAUCUUGGGACUGACCAGGACCAUCGGACCUAACAAGCUCUCUCUCCCCAUGAGAUGAGAUCAGUGAGCUAAGAAGUGAUCUGUCCACAACAACAGACUAAUGACAACGUCUUCCAAAGCCACAUCAUGAUGCAACUGCUCCAUGCUGAAGACAGUCUAAUAUCCAGCACCUAGUGUCUGAUGGGCUCAUAAUGACCUAGAACAUGUCCCUAAUUGUCAUGGAUACCACAAAUCCCUGAGCCAACCCAUACUCAAUAUCACCAGGCGGCAAAUAAUCCCUUGUGGCAUUGAGUAUGGGUUGGCUCAGGGAUUUGUGAUCUCCAUGGCAAUUAUGGACAUGUUCUAGGUCAUUAUGGGCCCAGCACAUACUGAGCACCGCCAAUCUUGGCAUCUCUGUUGCCAGCCCAGCAGUGGAAUCCAGUAGCUCAGACAGGGAUGAUACUGGGUAGCAAGAGGCCAUUUCAUCAGCAACAAUCCUGUUUCCUAUAGGUCCACUUCAGUCAAAGAUCUCAUAUCUAGUUAUCUGUGGAGCAGGCAGAGUCUCUGAAAACCUACAACAACUCAAUGGAUAACAAUUAUGACCACACCUCCCCUGCUUUGGGAGGGAUGGUGCCAGGUGGCCACUUUUCCAAGAGGGGAGCAUCCCCUAUAGGCCCACCAUAACCUAGUUGGCUGCGUCAUUCACAGCCCAAUUGUGUAUGAAGGAAGAUUGAUUACAAACUGACCUGCCAUUCAACAGCAGGUGGAGUCCAGGAUCACCAAAGAUCCAAUAUUUCGGUUUUGAAUGAAGAACCUGUUGUUCUCAGCAAGGGAGCCCAAUGCUCCCAGCCCACCCCAGGAUCCUAUCAUAUCUCUGUCCAUCAUGGUACCUAUGUUCCUACCACUUCCUCUCCUUCUCCUCAUUUCCCUCCCGGUCCUUGUAUUUUCCUCCUAAGCCAGGGCUGUCAAACUCUGGGCCGAAUGUGUCCUGUGCUGGCCACGACUGCAACCAGUUUAGCGAAGGGGGGGAAAGUCCCGAUACAUCACAUGACGCCACCGUGAUGAUGUGAGUUUGACACCCCUGUCCUGGGCAAAGGUGUCAAUUCAUCCACAUAUACCACCCAGACCACCAAACAACCACUCAUCUUUGGAGCCAUAGUGGCGCAGUGGAGGAGUGGGGUUGCUCCCAGCAUUACUGCCAGUUCGGUGCCAGUUCGGUGCGCAUUUGCACAAAAAUAGG
Thamnophis elegans (Western terrestrial garter snake) is the source of this 2280-nucleotide long non-coding RNA. RefSeq lists it as uncharacterized. NCBI's taxonomy places the organism in Eukaryota, Metazoa, Chordata, Lepidosauria, Squamata, Natricidae. The transcript has 3 exons. The record is from RefSeq and is a predicted model, not a curated record.